Molecule: ribosomal RNA, 253 nt
Filed under: uncultured bacterium
Lineage: Bacteria
Description: partial 16S ribosomal RNA
Rfam family: Bacterial small subunit ribosomal RNA
Source: RNAcentral
UACAUGUGGGGCAAGCGUUGUUCGGAAUUACUGGGCUUAAAGGGUGCGUAGGCUGCGCGGAAAGUUGGGUGUGAAAUCCCUCGGCUCAACCGAGGAACUGCGCCCAAAACUACCGUGCUCGAGGGAGACAGAGGUGAGCGGAACUUAGGGUGGAGCGGUGAAAUGCGUUGAUAUCCUAAGGAACACCCGUGGCGAAAGCGGCUCACUGGGUCUCUUCUGACGCUGAGGCACGAAAGCUAGGGUAGCGAACGGG